Molecule: long non-coding RNA, 385 nt
Organism: Temnothorax curvispinosus
Lineage: Eukaryota; Metazoa; Arthropoda; Insecta; Hymenoptera; Formicidae
Exons: 3
Source: RefSeq, a predicted model, not a curated record
UUAAAAUUGCCGUGUUAAGUCGAUAGUCGAAUUUAUUGUUGCCUUUUUACCGCGAUGCUGAUUGGUUAUCUCGAUUGAUUGCCGCGCCGUAGCUUGCUUCAUCCCGUGAGGGACUGUCAUCGCGGAGUGUGGCGAGUUUCGUGCGAGCCUCGUGUGUGUAGUGCGUCGUGUGUGUGUCGUGAUGUGACAGCUCUCGAGGUUAAUCGUCCCGCGUCGUGUCGCGAGGAUCGAAGUGCCACGCGAAAUAUCAGCGGAUCGGAGAUAGCUAGAUCAAAUAUUUAUCAGGUUAUCGUGGUUAUGUGAAGAAGUUCUCAACAUGUGAUUAAUGAAAAAGAAGUAAAGAAGAAGAAAUCGGAGAGGGUGUCGUGUUAUACUACAUAAUCAC